AUCAUAUUUGCCAAAAACGCAAUAUUGUAAUUCAGCCAACAACGAAAGGGAUUUGAGUUUAUUGAAGAGAGAGAAAAGGGCUGCCUAAUUAAUCAAAUCCCUAGCCCAUUCUUCAAUCUGUUGCUGCACAGAAUUGGAAACGCUAGAACCCAAAAUUUUCUUGUGUUGCUGCGAAGGGGACUCUCGUUUCUGUGUUUUCUUUCUUCAUUCGAACCAGUGACAGUGAGUCCAUUCGUCCAUUGCAGGCCAGAGUGUUCUGCCUUAAUUGUCCAAAACUAUUGAGGAAUCUCAAAAGAAUACUGAUUGGUUUAUGGCAGUGUUGCAAGCAAAUUGGGCAAGCUUUGGGCACACUCUGUUGAAAGACGAGUAAAAAAAAAAGUUCAUGAAACACAGAGAAUAAAAGCAAAAAUACCCAUCAGUGAUAUUGUACAUUGAUCAUACAUUUUGGUGGUGACUAUGGCAAGUGGGCAAGUGACAAAGCGAGUGAAAUACAAGACCUCAGUGAAGGACCCUGGCACUCCUGGUCGUCUUUUAUUGACUAUGGAGAAAUUAGCAUUCAGGCCUAAUAAUCCUAACUCAGCUUCAAAGUUUGACAUGGAGUUUAGAUACAUUAAAAAUCACAAAUACACCAAGGAGGGGUCCAAUAAAGCACCAAUGCUUAAUCUUACCUCAAAUCAGGGUGUAAGUUACAUAUUUGAGUUUGAAAAUUACAACGAUCUCCAAGUUUGCAAAGAAUUUGUGGGAAAAGCCCUUUCCAAGUCUGGAGAAACUCCAAAACCUGCUGAUACUUCACAAUCCCUUUCUGAACAACCCAGUACCGAAGAACUGCUUCUUCGAAUGAACUUGCUGCGAGAAAAUAGUGAGUUGCAGAAACUUCAUAAGCGGUUUGUGAGUGAUGGUGUGUUGACAGAUGCUGAAUUUUGGGCAACAAGGAAGAAGUUGCUCAGUGGGGACUUAAGUAGAAAAUCAAAGCAACGAGUGGGUCUUAAAAGUGUUAUGCUUUCAGACUCCAAGCCACUGAUUGAUGGACGGACAAACAAGGUUACAUUUAAUUUGACACCAGAGAUCGUACGUGAGAUUUUUGCAGAGAAACCAGCUGUUCACCAGGCAUACUUGAAUGUAGUUCCUAACAAGAUGACAGACAAGGACUUCUGGACCAAAUAUUGUAGAGCUGAAUACCUCCAUCAUUCAAAAAAUGCUCAUGCUGCAGCCGCGGAGGCUGCUGAAGAUGAGGAACUAGCUCUUUUUCUGAAACCUGAUGAUAUUUUGGCCAGUGAAACUCGGCGGAAGAUUAGAUGUGUUGAUCCAACUCUAGACAUGGAAGCUGACCAGGGGGAUGAUUAUACACAUCUUCCAGAUCAUGGAAUUGUUCGUGAUGGUAGCAAGGAGAUAACAGAUUCACAGAAUGAGCCAUACAUGAGGACUUUGUUACAGGACCUUAAUCGCCACUCUGCUGUUGUUCUUGAAGGAACAGCUAUAGAUGAUGAGCAGUUGAAAGACACACAAACUGUAGCAGAGGCACUUAUUCAGUCAAAGCAGGGACAUAAGACAGCUAAUGAAGAAGAUGAUGGCAAUGCAAGCCAGGAGAAAUUGAAUAGAAUUUCCAAAAUGAUGGAAAUUGAGGAUCUUCAAGGAUCAAAUGAUCUUCCUUUGGCACCUCUCUGCAUUAAGGAUCCACGGGACUAUUUUGAUUCUCAACAAGCUUGUGCAUUUAAAACUUCAAGAGACACAACUAUUGGAACAGAAGCAGUGAGCACUCGGGAAGCUUAUGGUUCUUUGAGGGACUCCAUUUCUCAGAUUAAAGUUAUGGGAUUGAAUGAUCCCAUAAUUAAACCUGAAGUUGCUAUGAAGGUUCUUUCUGUAUUGACACAUAAUAUCUCAAGCACUAAAUAUCAUCUUGGAAAGAAUCCUAGGGAGAGUGUUUUGGAUGGUUUCCCAAACAAAAUAAAGGAGGAUUUGCUGCAUCAUUGGAUGUCUAUUGAGGAGUUGCUGAGACAUUACUGGUCAUCAUAUCCAGUCACUACUGCAUAUCUUUAUGCCAAGGUAAAUAGACUGAAGGAUGCAAUGUCAAAAAUUGAUUCUCAGCUACAGCUUUGUCGAAUCAUGAAUGCAAUGUACAAAGAGGACUAACUAUUUGUGAAAUGAAAGUUGAUCAUGUGUCUUGGUUGCUUCUUGUAAGUCUAGCUCCACUUCAAAGGCACCUUGUGGGUAUGAAGCAUUUUUGCCCAAUACCCAACCGAUGUGGGACUUAACACACCCCCCUGACGCCUAGGAUUAAACGUCUGGAGUGUGAAGUUUGCAGGAGUAGACAUUUGUGGGUGACCUAACAUUGAGACUGGUUGGCUCUGAUACCAUGUUAAUAAAAUGGAUCGAGUCUAAUUCCAACCAAAAGGCACCUUGUGGGGGGAGGAUUGCUCAAGUCAUAUGUGGAGCAUUUUUGCCCAAUAACCAGCCAAUGUGGGUAGGGGUGAGUAGAUUUCAGUUUUAACCGAAAAACCAAAUGGAAUUGAUUUAAUUCAAUUUUUCGGUUUGUUUAUUUGUUUUAUCAGUUCAGUUUCGUUUAUUGAUUUAAAAAAAAGGUUAAUUUAGUUCCCUCUACAUAUAUAUAUAUAUAUUAUCAUUCUCAUUUAUUCAUUCUGCCACAACCAUUGCCCAAAACUGUGUUCUUCCUCAGAGUGAAAUUAAACUCUUCCUCACUCCUUGCAAGGCAGAAUCCAUGCCUUCUUCUCCUUCUUCAUAGCCUUCCUUGCGCAGAGAUCUAGAUGACAAGAGCCUCUCUCAACCACACUCAAUGGCUCCACCUACACACCUCCAUCUCCAGCCUCAAGUAGUCAUCAAUGUCAGGGGAUGACCUUGGAAAACAAAGUGACCCAGUUUGCUGUGCCAUUGACAUAGAUCCAUUGAAUCUCCAACAUGUGCUGUUUUGCUUAUCCCCAUCUGGGCAACAAAUCCCAACUAACGGAGAUGAAGGAAUCUGUGCAGUCAGAUCUUCGAAAUCAGCUUACACUCCUUAUACGUCCAAUGCAACAGGCUCUGGAGGCAGCCAUGCAACAUCAUGAUGCAGACUUGCAAAAGAGAUUAGCAAAGAGUGGAGAG
RNA transcript from Hevea brasiliensis (rubber tree), 3096 nucleotides. It is a transcript of the gene named general transcription and DNA repair factor IIH subunit TFB1-1, with no coding region annotated. The record is from RefSeq and is a predicted model, not a curated record. The transcript has 22 exons. Lineage: Eukaryota; Viridiplantae; Streptophyta; Magnoliopsida; Malpighiales; Euphorbiaceae.